UUAAGCGACUAAGCGUACACGGUGGAUGCCCUGGCAGUCAGAGGCGAUGAAGGACGUGCUAAUCUGCGAUAAGCGUCGGUAAGGUGAUAUGAACCGUUAUAACCGGCGAUUUCCGAAUGGGGAAACCCAGUGUGAUUCGUCACACUAUCAUUAACUGAAUCCAUAGGUUAAUGAGGCGAACCGGGGGAACUGAAACAUCUAAGUACCCCGAGGAAAAGAAAUCAACCGAGAUUCCCCCAGUAGCGGCGAGCGAACGGGGAGCAGCCCAGAGCCUGAAUCAGUGUGUGUGUUAGUGGAAGCGUCUGGAAAGGCGCGCGAUACAGGGUGACAGCCCCGUACACAAAAAUGCACAUGCUGUGAGCUCGAUGAGUAGGGCGGGACACGUGGUAUCCUGUCUGAAUAUGGGGGGACCAUCCUCCAAGGCUAAAUACUCCUGACUGACCGAUAGUGAACCAGUACCGUGAGGGAAAGGCGAAAAGAACCCCGGCGAGGGGAGUGAAAAAGAACCUGAAACCGUGUACGUACAAGCAGUGGGAGCACGCUUAGGCGUGUGACUGCGUACCUUUUGUAUAAUGGGUCAGCGACUUAUAUUCUGUAGCAAGGUUAACCGAAUAGGGGAGCCGAAGGGAAACCGAGUCUUAACUGGGCGUUAAGUUGCAGGGUAUAGACCCGAAACCCGGUGAUCUAGCCAUGGGCAGGUUGAAGGUUGGGUAACACUAACUGGAGGACCGAACCGACUAAUGUUGAAAAAUUAGCGGAUGACUUGUGGCUGGGGGUGAAAGGCCAAUCAAACCGGGAGAUAGCUGGUUCUCCCCGAAAGCUAUUUAGGUAGCGCCUCGUGAAUUCAUCUCCGGGGGUAGAGCACUGUUUCGGCAAGGGGGUCAUCCCGACUUACCAACCCGAUGCAAACUGCGAAUACCGGAGAAUGUUAUCACGGGAGACACACGGCGGGUGCUAACGUCCGUCGUGAAGAGGGAAACAACCCAGACCGCCAGCUAAGGUCCCAAAGUCAUGGUUAAGUGGGAAACGAUGUGGGAAGGCCCAGACAGCCAGGAUGUUGGCUUAGAAGCAGCCAUCAUUUAAAGAAAGCGUAAUAGCUCACUGGUCGAGUCGGCCUGCGCGGAAGAUGUAACGGGGCUAAACCAUGCACCGAAGCUGCGGCAGCGACGCUUAUGCGUUGUUGGGUAGGGGAGCGUUCUGUAAGCCUGUGAAGGUGUGCUGUGAGGCAUGCUGGAGGUAUCAGAAGUGCGAAUGCUGACAUAAGUAACGAUAAAGCGGGUGAAAAGCCCGCUCGCCGGAAGACCAAGGGUUCCUGUCCAACGUUAAUCGGGGCAGGGUGAGUCGACCCCUAAGGCGAGGCCGAAAGGCGUAGUCGAUGGGAAACAGGUUAAUAUUCCUGUACUUGGUGUUACUGCGAAGGGGGGACGGAGAAGGCUAUGUUGGCCGGGCGACGGUUGUCCCGGUUUAAGCGUGUAGGCUGGUUUUCCAGGCAAAUCCGGAAAAUCAAGGCUGAGGCGUGAUGACGAGGCACUACGGUGCUGAAGCAACAAAUGCCCUGCUUCCAGGAAAAGCCUCUAAGCAUCAGGUAACAUCAAAUCGUACCCCAAACCGACACAGGUGGUCAGGUAGAGAAUACCAAGGCGCUUGAGAGAACUCGGGUGAAGGAACUAGGCAAAAUGGUGCCGUAACUUCGGGAGAAGGCACGCUGAUACGUAGGUGAAGUCCCUCGCGGAUGGAGCUGAAAUCAGUCGAAGAUACCAGCUGGCUGCAACUGUUUAUUAAAAACACAGCACUGUGCAAACACGAAAGUGGACGUAUACGGUGUGACGCCUGCCCGGUGCCGGAAGGUUAAUUGAUGGGGUUAGCGCAAGCGAAGCUCUUGAUCGAAGCCCCGGUAAACGGCGGCCGUAACUAUAACGGUCCUAAGGUAGCGAAAUUCCUUGUCGGGUAAGUUCCGACCUGCACGAAUGGCGUAAUGAUGGCCAGGCUGUCUCCACCCGAGACUCAGUGAAAUUGAACUCGCUGUGAAGAUGCAGUGUACCCGCGGCAAGACGGAAAGACCCCGUGAACCUUUACUAUAGCUUGACACUGAACAUUGAGCCUUGAUGUGUAGGAUAGGUGGGAGGCUUUGAAGUGUGGACGCCAGUCUGCAUGGAGCCGACCUUGAAAUACCACCCUUUAAUGUUUGAUGUUCUAACGUUGACCCGUGAUCCGGGUUGCGGACAGUGUCUGGUGGGUAGUUUGACUGGGGCGGUCUCCUCCUAAAGAGUAACGGAGGAGCACGAAGGUUGGCUAAUCCUGGUCGGACAUCAGGAGGUUAGUGCAAUGGCAUAAGCCAGCUUGACUGCGAGCGUGACGGCGCGAGCAGGUGCGAAAGCAGGUCAUAGUGAUCCGGUGGUUCUGAGUGGAAGGGCCAUCGCUCAACGGAUAAAAGGUACUCCGGGGAUAACAGGCUGAUACCGCCCAAGAGUUCAUAUCGACGGCGGUGUUUGGCACCUCGAUGUCGGCUCAUCACAUCCUGGGGCUGAAGUAGGUCCCAAGGGUAUGGCUGUUCGCCAUUUAAAGUGGUACGCGAGCUGGGUUUAGAACGUCGUGAGACAGUUCGGUCCCUAUCUGCCGUGGGCGCUGGAGAACUGAGGGGGGCUGCUCCUAGUACGAGAGGACCGGAGUGGACGCAUCACUGGUGUUCGGGUUGUCAUGCCAAUGGCACUGCCCGGUAGCUAAAUGCGGAAGAGAUAAGUGCUGAAAGCAUCUAAGCACGAAACUUGCCCCGAGAUGAGUUCUCCCUGACCCUUUAAGGGUCCUGAAGGAACGUUGAAGACGACGACGUUGAUAGGCCGGGUGUGUAAGCGCAGCGAUGCGUUGAGCUAACCGGUACUAAUGAACCGUGAGGCUUAACCUU
This 2902-nucleotide ribosomal RNA is filed under the name Escherichia coli. RNAcentral's name for it is "bacterial LSU rRNA". It matches the Rfam family "Bacterial large subunit ribosomal RNA". The record is from RNAcentral. Lineage: Bacteria; Pseudomonadati; Pseudomonadota; Gammaproteobacteria; Enterobacterales; Enterobacteriaceae.